RNAcentral lists this ribosomal RNA (497 nucleotides) under uncultured bacterium. RNAcentral's name for it is "partial 16S ribosomal RNA". It matches the Rfam family "Bacterial small subunit ribosomal RNA", at positions 28 to 507 of the family's 1533-position model. The record is from RNAcentral.
GAUGAACGCUGGCGGCGUGCCUAAUACAUGCAAGUCGAGCGAACGGACGAGAAGCUUGCUUCUCUGAUGUUAGCGGCGGACGGGUGAGUAACACGUGGAUAACCUACCUAUAAGACUGGGAUAACUUCGGGAAACCGUAGCUAAUACCGGAUAAUAUUUUGAACCGCAUGGUUCAAAAGUGAAAGACGGUCUUGCUGUCACUUAUAGAUGGAUCCGCGCCGCAUUAGCUAGUUGGUAAGGUAACGGCUUACCAAGGCAACGAUGCAUAGCCGACCUGAGAGGGUGAUCGGCCACACUGGAACUGGGACACGGUCCAGACUCCUACGGGAGGCAGCAGUAGGGAAUCUUCCGCAAUGGGCGAAAGCCUGACGGGGCAACGCCGCGUGAGUGAUGAAGGGCUUCGGAUCGUAAAACUCUUUUAUUAGGGAAGAACAUAUGUUUAAGUAACUGUGCACAUCUUGACGGUACCUAAUCAGAAAGCCACCGCUAACUACGUG